RNAcentral lists this ribosomal RNA (439 nucleotides) under uncultured bacterium. Its description in RNAcentral is "partial 16S ribosomal RNA". It matches the Rfam family "Bacterial small subunit ribosomal RNA", at positions 339 to 795 of the family's 1533-position model. The record is from RNAcentral.
CUACGGGAGGCUCCAGUGGGGAAUAUUGCACAAUGGAGGAAACUCUGAUGCAGCAACGCCGCGUGGAGGAUGACACUUUUCGGAGCGUAAACUCCUUUUAUAUAGGAAGAAGAUGACGGUACUAUAUGAAUAAGCGCCGGCUAACUCCGUGCCAGCAGCCGCGGUAAUACGGAGGGCGCAAGCGUUACUCGGAAUCACUGGGCGUAAAGAGCGUGUAGGCGGAUUAAAAAGUCAGAAGUGAAAUCCUAUAGCUUAACUAUAGAACUGCUUCUGAAACUCUUAAUCUAGAAUAUGGGAGAGGAAGAUGGAAUUUCUGGUGUAGGGGUAAAAUCCGUAGAGAUCAGAAGGAAUACCGAUUGCGAAGGCGAUCUACUAGAACAUUAUUGACGCUGAGACGCGAAAGCGUGGGGAGCAAACAGGAUUAGAUACCCGUGUAGUC